Molecule: non-coding RNA, 158 nt
Filed under: human gut metagenome
Source: RNAcentral
GGUGAAGAGAAUGAAAAGGGAAUCAGGUGUAAAUCCUGAACAGUCCCGCUGCUGUGAAGCUUUGUUAUGUUCUGAAAAACACUUUUGCCACUGCUGUCGUUUAUGAUGUCGGGAAGGCUUCAGAAUAGAAGCGAGUCAGAAUACCUGCCAAUCUUUUU